ACAUUGUCCCAGGUGUUGCAGUUACUAAUGUGAGCAAGACAUCCUCCUGGCCUUAGCGAGUGUACCCAGGAGUUAUAUAAAGGAUAUUCUGGGAGCCGGAAGAAGGAGCGAAUAAAGCAGACUGCACAGAUGGAACAUGGAAAGGCUUUUAACAGAAAUGAAUACUUUCAGACUAGGUUUGAAGGACUGAGUAGGAGUAAACUAAAAGAGAAAAAGCAGGACAAAAGAAGCACCACUUUGGAAGCUCAAAGCCGCACUGGAAACACAGUCUUUCAGGAUGUCUGAAAGGGGCAAGUCUGUUUGUGUGGGGUAAGAAAUGCGGGGAGACAAACGGACAGUGGACAGAUUGCAGAGAGCUCUGUGUGCUGAGAGGAGGGUGCAGACCAGAUUUUUAAAUUGAGAAUGCAACAGUGAAGGAUUUCAAGCUUGGAGUGAGAGGGGAGACUACGAGCCUGCAGUGAUAAGGCAAAGCUGAAGAUUUCAGAGCCAAGGCCACACCCUACAGUUGCCAUGGAAUGGGGUGGCACAGUGGGCUUUGGAGAUAUACAGGGAGUCCACGGAGCCUCCCCUGCAAGCAUCAGUACAGAAGUCGAUGAUAAUCUGGAUGCAAGCCCAGGAGUGUGGAGUCCACUGACUCAGAAGACCUGCAUCUAAGGAAUUGGCUGUUCUUAUCCUUAAGAAUGAUGACUGUGUUUCCAAUUCCAGUAGACCCUUUGAUGCGUUCUGAAUAAAUAUUCCUUUUGGAAUUGAACUUCUAGAGCCCUUAACUUUGGCCCACUCUAGUUUUCUGUCUGUUUUUUUUUUUUUUAAUAUUUUUUUUUUGUAAAGAUAAGGUCUUGCUUUGUUGCCCAGGCUGGUCUUGAAUUCCUGGACUCAAGCAAUCCACCUGCCUUGGCCUCCCAAAGUGCUGGGAUUAUAGGUGUGAACCAUUGUGUCCGAUCGCUCUCUGGUUUUUCUAAUAUCAUGAUCCCAACUCUGUUCUUUAUGUAAAUUUCCCUGAUCACAUGGUUGUAUCUUGGCAUUUCAAAAUCCUUGACAGACUUUGUUUUGUUUGAAUUUUACAAUGAACUUACAUGACUAGGCACGGUCCCCAGUUCAGUUUUAUAGACAAG
This 1112-nucleotide long non-coding RNA is filed under the name Homo sapiens (human). RNAcentral describes it as "HSALNT0325387". The record is from RNAcentral. Lineage: Eukaryota; Metazoa; Chordata; Mammalia; Primates; Hominidae.